CUUUCAUGUAUAUACUUAACAUCUACAUUUUCCAUCCAGUUCAAAUGAAACAUGGUACACAACAUCAGCAUGAAGUGGACAUGCAAAUAAUGUCUGGACUAUCAAGUUUGAUUAUUUUUAUCUACAGUUAAUAUGCCAUUUUUUAUUUCAUUAUAUCACAGCUACAUUGAUACCUUGUGUAUUAAAACUCUUGCAGAUUCCAUCAGGGUCAAAUGAAAUAUGGUAUACUUCAUGGACAGGCAGCAGACAUACACAUACUAUGAUGCUCAUACAAAGGGCCACAAGUAUUUGAAGCAUUGGUCAACAAAAACUGAACUGUUUGAUGGAUCACACAGAAUUUACAAUCAUAUUUCCAGACACAAAUGUAGAGAAUUAAUGAAAAAGAAAUAUUAGUAUCAAGGAUAAGGGAGAAAGAAAAAUAUGCAUCAUGCAUGAAGAACCUGCUUUAGAUUAAUUUGCAAAAUACAUUGAAACCUCACAAUUGUUAAUGGCAUAAUGCGUAUGGAAGUUAAGAAAGGUGUACUUUUCUGGAAAAUAACAACAAUAUUUUUUCAAUUUUCUGAGCAUAAUUCAACAUAAAAAUUAUAACAUGGCUACAUGGAUAAUACAAAAUGUGCAAUCAUAUUUCCAGACACAAAUUGGGAGAAUCAGAGAAGAAAUAUCAAGAAUUAGGGAAAAGGAAAUAUUUGUCAUGCAUGAAGAACCUGCUUUAGAUUAAUUUGCAAAAUACUUUGAAACCUCACAAUUAUUAAUGACAUUAUGCAUAUGGAAGUUUAGAAACGUGCAUUUUGAUUAAUCAUCUUCUGGCACUUUAAAAUAAAAUAAAAAUAUAUU
Mercenaria mercenaria is the source of this 834-nucleotide long non-coding RNA. RefSeq lists it as uncharacterized. The transcript has 2 exons. NCBI's taxonomy places the organism in Eukaryota, Metazoa, Mollusca, Bivalvia, Venerida, Veneridae. The record is from RefSeq and is a predicted model, not a curated record.